GUGGGAAGAGACGGAGGAGAGGCCGGCAGGAAAGAAGAAUGUGGGGACUCACCUAGCGGUCCUCAGAGGUCCUUCCAGCCCUGCUGCUCCUGAUUCUCCUCAACACUCUAGCGACCCUGUCUGUAAAGAAGGGAUGAAGAAAUAAACACACCGGACCCAACCUCUGGCAGAGGCUUGAUAAAUGGGUCUGCCAUUCUCCAAGGUACAGAUACUACUGCCAUGACAAAUUCCAAGGUGCCAGCAGCGACGUCGAUGAUCCAGAGCCAGGAAGAGAGACACAGCAGCACAACACUAUACGACAGGACUGUGCAUCCCCAAGUUUGCAGGCCCGUGGAUCUCAGGCUUCGCCGUGGAUAAGAUAGAGGAAUUUAUUUCCGCAUGCCCUCUCGUCUCCUUCUGUUAACGUUAGUUAUGUGUAACUCCUGUAACUCUGUCUGUUAUAGAAGACAUUCCUUCCAGGUGCUCCCUUCUUUGCAAGGAUGGUACCGAGAAGAGUGAUAUCAAGGCCAGACCCCUUGCACGUUAUGGAACCUUCCAGUUUACUUAGCUAAAAUCUCACUAAUUCCCGCAGCAACUCUGCAAAAUGGGGCAGGUGGAGCCAUGAAGCUGUGGGUGAAGCUGGCCACACCAAGUUAGCCGACCUUUUCGGUAGAGUGCUGGACGAUCUGCACACAGCGUGGCUACGUUCCAAUAAACUGUGUCAGGACACAGAAAUUAGAAUUAUAGUAACGUUCACACGCCACGAAAUGUUAUACUUCUUUUGAUUUUUUCCAUCCAUUUCAAAAUACAAUCCCCCCUUUUUUUAAACACAAAGACCACAUAAAAAUGAGCCCCAGGCAAAAUUUGGUCUCCGGGCCAUAGUUUGGUUACCCUAGCGAAAGAGAGUAAGCUCCAGAGAGAACAGAGACUACUUUAAAUUGAUGCACAGUGGCGGGUUGUGACUGGCUUGGUGCUUAGGACACAGGACUUUUCACUACUCUUCCCAGCACCACAAAGGAGCCGUUGCAGGGAACGAUGAGGUGGACCCAAGAUGGUUAAUGGUUACAGGGGUGCAGUUGGGUGGAAUAAAUAACCUCUAGGGUUCUCCUGCACAGUGAAUUAACAAUGAUUAAAACCAAUUGAUUGUAUAUUUCAAAGCAGCUAGUACAGAAGAUUUUCAGUGUUCCCAGUACAAAGAAAUGAUAAAUUCCUCUGCUCUGUUCCUCACACAUGGUAAAGACAUGUGGAGACGUCACAUGCUACCCACAAAGAUGUGCAAUCAUAUGUAUCGAUUGAAA
Fukomys damarensis (Damara mole-rat) is the source of this 1277-nucleotide long non-coding RNA. RefSeq lists it as uncharacterized. Lineage: Eukaryota; Metazoa; Chordata; Mammalia; Rodentia; Bathyergidae. The record is from RefSeq and is a predicted model, not a curated record. The transcript has 4 exons.